GUAAGUAUAGCUCAGUGGUACAGUGCAUGCUUAGCAUUCACGAGGUCCUGGGUUCAAUCCCCAGUAAUGCCA
Molecule: transfer RNA, 72 nt
Filed under: Camelus bactrianus (Bactrian camel)
Lineage: Eukaryota; Metazoa; Chordata; Mammalia; Artiodactyla; Camelidae
Also listed under: 2 other names
Rfam family: tRNA
About the family: Transfer RNA (tRNA) molecules are approximately 80 nucleotides in length. Their secondary structure includes four short double-helical elements and three loops (D, anti-codon, and T loops).
Source: Rfam by way of RNAcentral